This is a long non-coding RNA of Myotis brandtii (Brandt's bat), 641 nucleotides long. RefSeq lists it as uncharacterized. Lineage: Eukaryota; Metazoa; Chordata; Mammalia; Chiroptera; Vespertilionidae. The transcript has 2 exons. The record is from RefSeq and is a predicted model, not a curated record.
GGGGUCACCACAACAUGAGGAACUGUAUUAAAGGGUCGCGGCAUUAGGAAGGUUGAGAACCACUGCUUUAGAUGAAGAGCUGUGGGAUAAAAUUUGCUCACUCCGUUGUAUAAAGCACAACCAGAACUUGUGAGUGGCUUACUUGAAGUGACUUCAUACAUCUUGAAUACUUUUAAUGUUGAUGUGUUGACUUUUUUAAGUUGACUGCACAGUCACUGUAUGUACUAGGAACUGGUUUCCUUGACUUUCUAGAAUCAUUGGCUAAGAGAGGCACUAAUCCCUGCGGGGUUGAACAUAUCCUGAAGCUGAGUCAGUAUGGAAGAAUUUAAAAUAAAUCAAACAGGGUGCUGCAGUUCCAUCUGUCUCAGGCUCACGCACAAGAUUUCUUUGUUCAGUAAGAUUGAACAGUGCCUAUUUGAAGAUUCGGAAAUGUUACUGCUCUAUUGAGACAACCAAUGGGAGACGUGUGACCAGCUAUCUCUGAUGUCAUAAAACGCAUGUUUGCAUUGGAAGAACAGUAAUUGCUAACUUCUCAGGUCCCCUUAUAAUUCUGAAGUUCUGUGAUCAUAUGAAAGGAGGGAAUGUGUUUAAUCUGCUCCUUGCUUAAAGCAUAUGAAUAAAAGACUCAUACUAUUUAUUGA